This is an RNA transcript of Panicum virgatum (switchgrass), 9917 nucleotides long. RefSeq lists it as uncharacterized. The record is from RefSeq and is a predicted model, not a curated record. Lineage: Eukaryota; Viridiplantae; Streptophyta; Magnoliopsida; Poales; Poaceae. The transcript is spliced from 6 exons.
CAAAUCCAAUCCCGCCCGCCAAUCACGCCGGCAGUGCAUCUCCUUCCAUCCCCGCCGCCGCGCCGCAUCUCGCGAUCGCGCCCGUCGCUUCCCCUCCGCGCCUCCCCCAGGCGCCGCCUCCCUCCUCGCGGCCCCGUUCUCCCCCUCGCGCCACCGCCUCCCUGCGACCUCGGCCUCGACGGCGUGCUGCCGGUUCUCGCGCGGCUGGGCGCAGAGCGUGGUGGCGGCAUCCUUCUUUUUCCUCGCGCCGCCGGCCUCGAGGAGGGAACCAGCAGCAGGACGGCUCCCGCGCGGCCGGUGGCGCCGUCGAGGUGGAAGCGGCGUGGGGCGGAGCAGGAGCGGCUCCGCGGCCUCUCUCUCUUUGGCCGACGCGCACGCCGCCUCGAGCCAGGGCCGGCGCGGCCGGCCUCCAUCUCCAGCGGAUCUGGCCGGGUAUGGCGCGCACGCCAUGGAGGCCCUCCUCCCUCCUCCCUCCUUCGGAGCUCGGCAAUCUGCGCGAGCAGGCCGGGCGCCGCCGGCCUGGAUCUGCGCGAGCUCCUCUCGCCGCAGAGCAGGAGUAGGGGAAGGAGGUAGCGGCGAAUCAGCGGAGCGGUAGCGGCGCGGCUUGGCAGUUGCUGCGCGGGUCCUCCCUCCUUCCUCCGGCCUCAUGGACUGCUGGAGUGCCCGUGCGUUGCAAGGUGAAGGCACAAGCACUGCCCCCGCCACCAGCACCGCCGCAGCUGCCCACGUAUUCUCCUCCACGAAGCAGCACGCUUAGGAGGUCAUGGCAUGGAUCUUAUCAUCGUGCAGACCUAUGGCACCUCCGACGACGGCUUGAACUGCUCCCCCAACAUCACCUCGACCCCAGGCUCAAUCCUUCCUCCAACCAUAUGGUUGAUGGGGCGCUGAUCCUUUCCUCUUCGUUCUUCUUCAAAAUCUGGAGGAUUGAUUCGAUGUUUCCCCCCUUGUGAUGCGUCAGGUACUAUCCCACAGGCUAGCGAGAUCACCUCCAAUCACCUCUUUCAUUCACAAACAUGGUUGCAGGACGCCGACUGCGGGAGCACGAAUCACUUAGUGGCAUGUCGAUGGCUGGGGCUGAAAGAAAAUAAUUUAUGGACAAAUGAUUUCAAUGCCAAGCGCAUGUUAGGCCUAGAUGCGGAGCACUGAUGGCGAAAGAUCAGGUCAUUUUCAUUUUUAUGAUUAAUAAUUGCCUGAGUUUUUAUGAUACGAGUUACACAUGAAAAGGUUCCCCUGUGAUUUCAAUUAAAAGCGGCUCAGUGACACCGCUAUUUCGUUGCACACUUAGGUUUUCAGCUCCUAUUUAUUUCAUUGCACGGGCAUAGAAUUGAAUACUUUGUAGGAUUUUUGUGUUAUAAGCUUUAUAAAAAAACUUCUGUGUUUCUAUAAGUUAAUAGCUGUAGUUACUUGAAUCGUUGCCACUUGCCAGUUAAUAGCUAUAACAAUUAGGAUUUCUUGUGUAAACACAGUUUGAUCAAAUAUUGUUUUUGGAAAGUAAGGGUCUGGAGGAAGUGAAUACUGCUGAACCUAGCACAAGUAGUUUGCAUUGUCAAACCAGGCAGCUAAUGGAGGCACUGCCGAUUCAUCAUAGUCCUUGGUCCAGGGAGAGAACUAAAGUUUUGUUUGGUGAUUAGCUUUCUUUGCAAUUAUGUCAUGAACCAGGUACUAGCAUGUAUGCACACCGUCUCGCACUCGGUGUUUUGGGGUCAAUCUGAGAUGUUAUUAGUCCAGCAAUGUUUAACUGAUCAGAUAUUAUAUGUUCGCAACCUAACCAUUGUCGAAUUUGUUAGUUGGUACACUACUCACUGAGAAAUUAACUUCACAUGAGCUGAUUUUGUUGCAUGUUUUUGCCCGUUUGCCUAGGUUCAAAGUCCUAUGGAAGAAUGGAGUGAUUUCAGAUAUUUUGCACAGGCAGAACACUUUAACACUAAAAACUUUUUUUUGAGAGUAUUAAACACUAAAAACUUUACACACUAUCAUGAUAUGUUUCCAUCUACAGCUGGAAAAAAAAGUAUGCUUCAGAUCUAUUUCGCAACACUCCUACAUAUUGCUUUGUCUUUUAUCUAAGAAAGUUCUCUCCAUUCUACUUAUGGUCCAUUUUAUCAGCAUCCCUGGUACAUGAUCAUUACCCUGUUAAUUGGAGUUAUCACUUCAGAAUAGCUGUUUAGGGACAAUAAGAGGUAAGCUAUCCUUGAGUACCCUUUUUUUUGGAUUCUGUAACUUUUUUUUCCAGUUUCUCUCGCUGCAUCUGCUGAAUUCCAUAUUGUGAUCUGUUCAAAAUAAAUCUUUUAUAGAUAUAUUGAUCGCCUGAUGUGUGCCCACAUAGAAUUAUUCUGCAAUUGACCUUAGGUUGAUCUUAGUCUGAAAAAAAAAGAUAAUGUCUUACUAUUAUAAUCCUUGUUCAAUGGAUAAAUCAAAUGUGUUCACACUUACUAUUCAGAGGUGCAGCUUCCCCAAUUGGUCCCCAAAUGUUCUGUGCAUUAUGCAGUAAGGAUAUCAGAUUAUCUGCCAGCAAUUUAAACAACAUUUUCUGUUACAGCUCUGAGUCGCAAUAAUUUACAUGAACAAGUGCAGACAUCAACUUGUGUGCUCUUCAGUUUCUCCUCUGAUUUUGUUUGUAAUUUGUCAGAUAUCUGUGUUCUUGACACACUCUUCUAUCAGGCCUACUGUACACACAUGACCACGAAACCUCUUGACGUAGCAAUUGGGACCACAUCGGCCCAUCAGCUGAUUGGAUCUGUGACUGGUCUCUAAGAUAUGAACAAUCGAAUGUAAGCAUCCUGAACGGAUCAACUCUUAUGCAGUGAUCAUUAAAAUAAAUAAUUUUGAUACAAAUAAAUAAAGAUGCCACAUAGAUCUCAUUUUGUAAAUAACUAAGUUCGUACAUGUAUGUUGCUACAAACAAUAAAUAUUUUGAGACCAAUUGAGAUCUGAAGCAUCAACCUUUUUGAAUUUUAUAUCACACAAUCUAAAGAGAAAAAAUGACAUAAUCUGUCUAAGUAUUAAAUAUCACUUGUUCAUAGAUAAAAAUAAGAAUAAAACAUUAUGAGUGCAGGAUCAUUGCGCGGGUAAAUUUAGGCCGUCUGUCUAGAAGCAGAAAAGAUAAAAAAAUUUAGUUGAUAUCUAAUUUUGGUCAAACAUAAAAAUAGUUUGACUCUCUAAAAAAUAAAAUAACUUACUAUUUGAAACGGAGGCAAUAACAUCAGAAAUCAUACAUAUAUUUUUAGAAAAGCCAAGCCACAGUAUCUUGAGCUGCCCCACGGCAAGAAAUUUUCACCACUGAACACCAGUAACUAUAGUCAGCAACACGAGCAAAUUCUCUUUCCCAAAGCCAUCAAAGCAAUGUCCCUGCCCAUCAGCGCGCAACACCCUCUCAAGUUCCAUCAGUCCUCAGAGCCGGCCUACAAAGCCUACAAGCACCAGCUACAUCAAUGCUCUCUCUCUCUCUCUCAUAUAAGGCUGUCCGCAGUGGGUAUUCCACCCCAUCUGCAACGCAUCUUCCAGUACCACUAUAGAGAAAAAAUCGUUGCAGCGGCGUUCUCUAAACGGCACGCCAUCCUUGCGAACGGGGCGGAGGCGCGCCAAAUCUGGGGUGGUAACGUCCGUCCGCAACGCGCCGACGUGGUUUGGGGCUUGCCUCCGGCAGUUGCUCCACUGCCUCCUCCCGCGCCGGGCAGCUCUCCGCCGCCGCAGCGCCAGUGCCAUCUGCCGCAGCAGCCCUGCCCCGUCCGCCCCGCGGGGGAGGGUGGGGAUGGAGAGGCCGGCGAGGAAGGGGAGGGAGGGCGCGCGCGCCGGCGAGGGAGGGGAUGGAGCAUGAAGGAGGCCAGGAGGUCGCCGCGUCAUGGCCUCCGCCGCCCCGCCAUGGGCGCACCGCCGCAUGGCCCGCCAGCUGCCCCGCUGUGCCCGCGCGCCGGCCGCCCGCUGUGGCCGUGGGCCGCCCCGCCGUGCCCGCGGCCCCGUGCGACGGAGGAGGGAGGAGCCAGGACGAGGGGCGCCGGCGAGCUCAGGCCACCGAGCUCGGCACGGCGGAGCUCAGGCCACUGAGCCCUGGCUGCUCGUCGGCGCCCCUGCGCGCUCCCGAGCAGUGCCUCACCCAACGCCGUUGUUGCCGCCGCCUGCCCGCCCAUGGUGGAGGAGCCGAGGCAGGCGCGGAUGCCCGGGCGUGGCGGAAGAGCCGAGGAGCGCGUCGAGGGAGGUCCAGUGCGCCGCCGUGGCCGAGCUCGAGGCGUCGCCACCGCCCGCGCGAGGCCCCGCGCCGCCGUGGCAGAGGGAGCUAGGGAGGAGGGGAAGAGGAGGGGGCGGCGGAUCCGGCCGACGGCUCCAUGUACCCGUCAGGGCCGCCGCCGCCAUGGCCCCAUGGGUGCUCACCUACCCAAGCCGCCGGAGGAGCAGAGGGCAGGCGGGGGCUCGGCCUUGCCGCAGGGCCCCGACCACGCCGUGUCCGCCCCGCCUCGCCGCCGCGGCUCAGCCUCGCCGCGGUGGCCCCGCCACACUGCAUCCGCCGAGGGGGAGGCGAGAGCAAAGAGAGAGAGAGGGGAAAGAGAGAGGAGUGGCGGUGGGAGAGAGCGAAAGAGGUGGGGAUGGAUAAAAAAAUCUAAAUUACGGGCCCCACAGUGGGUAGUUGGUAUAGAGGAUGGGAUAUGGAGGAUGAUGGGUGCGGAGAAACUGAAUAUACUCUAUAGAGUAUAGAAUCUCGAUGACCAGGAUGAAAUAUUUUCUUUAAAGAAUGAAUUUAGAGUACGACGAGUGCGGAUAGCCUUAGAGGGAGAGUGGAGAUAGAUGCAAAGGCAAAACCGUGGUGCUUGCCUGUUUGGUUGCACAGAAACCUUGGAGGUUUGGACUGCUGUGAGUUAUGACGGGAACUGCAGGUGUGCAUGGCGUCGAACUCCGAGCCGGCUUUCUCGGCGCCAAAGAUCUUGGCGCCGAGGUAGCUGCCACAUUACCUCAGUGCAGGUGGUAAGUACCGCCCCUCAGCGCAGGUGGUAAGUACCGCCGAGACGUGUAACCUCGGCGCCAUGGGUUUACAACACAUAUGAGCUUCUGUGACAUUCUAUUUAUAUUACUAAAAGUGGUAUUUUCGUCAUGUUUUAUAAUCUGUGACGUUUGCAUGACGAAAAUUGGUUCGUCGACUAUACCUUGUCAUAUAAAAGAUCUUCUGCGACGAAAACAUAUUUUUUUCGUCAUAAAUAUUAUGACGAUUAUUCUAUCGUCACUAAUGUCAUAAAUCUUAUGACGAUUAUUCUAUCGUCACUAAUUUGUGACCCUCAUUUUUUGUCAUAAUUAAUACCAAGAAACAUCACAAAACUAUGUGCAAUGGAUGAUUUUACAUGUGCCAUGUAGGAUAGAAAACAUCAUAAAAUCUUUCCCCCAUAUUAUGUGGCGAUGACUAGAAUAUGAUGUGGCAUCUCCAUUAUGACGAUUUCAUUUGUCAUAAAAUAUUCAAAUUAUUAAUACAGCCUGAUAUUUGAUUUGGACUGAGAUCAAUUCAAAACAAUAUAUUCAUUCAAAACACCAGGCCACUUUACAGAAUAUUUAUUAUAGUCCGAUAUCACUUGUCCAAAAACCAAUAGAUUCAUAUGCAUAUUACAGCCCAACAUCACUUGUGAAGUCACUUCAUAAACAACCCAAAAACAAAAAAGACAAGUCACUCGAUAACAGGACAGCCAAGACAACUCUACGAACUCACAGCCAAAAAGUCUCUCCCCUUGCUUCUUCAAACUUUCAAUCUCUCCCCUUUGAUUCUCCCUUGCUGCUUCAGGUUCCUGGAACUUCAGCUUCAAGUCUUCUAACUCACUUUGCCGGUCAUCCAUUGUCUCACUUUGCUGCUGAAACCUGCUCACUGGUAAGAAAGGCAAUGAUUAUAAGUACCGUAACACAACCAUUAACCAAAUAUCAGACAUAUAUAUGUUUGUAACUUCUAGUCACAUAAGUGCACAUGCUAAGUUACAGUAUGAAUGCAAGUACCAUAACACACUCUAAUAAAUGUAAGUAUAACAGCAGUACCAACUAGAGAUCCAACCCAAUGUGCUGUAGCAAGCAAGAAAGGUAGACCUACCUUACAAUGUGCUGUAGGUCCACACGAGAAGGCAACAGUUUACAAUCUGAAACCGUAGUUCUUCCUAAAGGCAGCAGUUUACAAUCUGAAACCUUAGUUCUUCCUAAAAGAAAAGGCAAUGUCAGAAGCAGCAGUUUACAUUUUCAUAUUAGGUCAGUGUCUUCAUAUAACAUCUGAUUAGUCCAAUAAACUAAAAAAUACAAAUUGCUUAGUAACAACUGACAAUCAACCCUCCUCUUCUAUCAACCAAAGCUUGCUCAAGUCGUGUGCAAGAAAAACUAACAUGUCAAGUAAUGCUAAAAGCAUAGGUAUUAUUUGCUACCACUUGACUUGAGUCAGUGUAUCACUUUGUACUCAACCAAUAGAUGCUUUAGCUUUGCAAGAUCGUGACAUCGUUUGUUUAUCUGCUACCACUAUCCUGCAAUGUAAAGUAAUAAACAUACAUUACAUAUGCUGACUUGUAUGGAGAGGCUGCAGUCCACAUAAAUGAUCCAUUAAGUCUGUACAAAGAGCAAUUAAAAGUACAAAUAUUCUAUUCAAGAGCCUUAAGUAUGCGUGCAAUUAGUUAAGAACUGCACAAGAGUGUAGAACAACUAAGGAUGCCUGCCCACAAGAAAGUCAUUCAGCAAACAGGACUAGUAACAUAGAGUAGAGCAUUACUCAGGUACCUGGGCCUUGUUUGGUUUGGCGCUAGAAUCCUAGCGCUAGAAGAGAAUCUUUUCCGCAUGAAUAACUGAAUGAAGUUUAUUUGCAAAACCUUUUCAGGGAUGGGUGUAACUUUUCGCGACGAAUCUAAUGACGAUAAUUAAUCGAUAAUUUGCUACAGUGAUGUUACAGUAACCAUCCUCUAAUCGCAUGGUCAAAGGCCUCAUUAGAUUCUUCAAGGUCACUAGCGCGGGGGUUCUGAAGUUAGUUUUGUAAACUGCUUUUAUUUGACACCGUAAUUAGCGAUCAAACUGUCACUAUUCACUAGCACACUGCAAACCAAACGGGGCCCUGGUGGCUUGUUUCUCGCUGCUUGUGGAAAGAGAUGGAGGUGGCCAUUGCUGCUCAAGGGAGGAUGGCCACUUCUGCUUAAGGGAGGUCAAUCUUUUUAAAGAGUGCUAUCCAAUCCUUCAGGUUUGGUUGAAUGUACAGUCAGUAAUCAGAACUAUUUUCUAGCAACUGACCCUAGCUUCUGAUAAGAUUCUGAUAACUUAUAUAAAGAUAAAGAAUUUUUUUAGCAACUUAUCCUAGCAACAGUUUGUAGUUUGUACAGUUGCCCUAAUAAUAAGAAUCGAGUAGUGUUUUAAUAAUACUUGAAAUAGAUAAACUAUUGCUCUUACAUGAACAUAAUGUAAAUGGACAGAAUCACAUUAACUUUGGUACUAUCCAAUUACAUACUCAUAAACAAGGAGACCUAAAAAAAUAAAGAGAAAGUUAUCUCUGUACAUGCUCAAUCGACAUCCCACCUUGAAUCUAGGAUGAGCUCAUUUGCUAAAAUUACUUGCAACAUUUUAUAUAAAAUUACUCAAUUGAACAGAGCACAGCACAAUAUCACAAAGCACAAUAUAAAAUUACUCAGUAGUUAGGGGUUGCAUAGAACAAAGCACUCAAUUUUUUCUUUGACGAACCACAAAGCACUCAAUUGAACAGAGCACAUCACACUAUAGAGACCGCAGCGUGCUGUAAUAGGAGUAACAUAGGACAGAGCACGCAGUCGAACAGAGCAGAGCACAAAUUAGACCACCUCUUCAACUGCAAUUGAACACAAGAGGAAGAAUCAAGUACCAGGACGGUAGUACCUAGGGUCCUAGAGAUGAUCCUGAUCUGGGUGGAGGCUUGGAGCUGGAGUUCGCGAAUCUAGCUAAUCUGGCGGCGGGGCUGUAGGCGUCGAGAGGAGGCGAAGCUUGGGGGCCGGGGUGGCACACACGGGGCCGCACAACAGGGCACGGCAUGCGCGGCCGCAGGGCGCCGAGCGGACGAGACCUUGGGGCCGGGGUGGCACACGGGGCCGCGGCCGCGGCGCAGGGCGCAGCACGCGCGGCCGCCGGGCGCCGACCGGAGGCAGAGCUUAGGGCACGUACAACGGACAGACAUAGGGAUGCAAGCGGGGCGGGUUUUGCCGCAAGCCCGCUGGGCUGACCCGCCCCGCAAGCACGUGAAGCGCCGCAAUUCGGUCCGCAUAAUUGAAGUGGCGGUAUGCGGCAGCCCAACGGGGCCCAACGGCGCCGCGAAGCCCGCAAAAUAGGGUUCCUGUGUGUCGCUCGCAGUCAUCCCUAGCCGCCGCCGUCCGCGGCCGCUGCCUCCACUCGCCCGUCCGCGGCCGCUAUCUCCACUUGCUCCUCCUCGUCCCGGUGGCGGCCGCCGACGGGAGCAAGGCGCGGCGACUCCCCGUGAUUCCACGGCGACUUCCACGGCGGCGGGUUCGCGUUCUUCUCCGUGAUGCUGCAGUUCAUUGGCGACCCAAAGAAGCACCCCGUCCCGGCGUCCCGCUCGAGUCGAGCCCCCUCCGGGCACCAGGAAACCUUUACUCCUUUGCAAGGAAGAGCGCCACCUGGAAGGAAUUCUUUAGGAUUGGAGGUGCCGCCGGUGUCCUCACCUCUGCUUGGCCGAAUCAGGAGCCGAACUGACUUCGUCUUUGGUCGACCAAGUGCGCCCUAGACAUGGUGUCACCGCUGCCGCCGCCGGUGGGCAGCGGAUCUACGCCUGCCGUCGUCAAGAAACAAAGGGUGAAGGUGCUUCGACCUGCACACUCCUCCCAAGCUGCCACUGCUACCACUCCGCUCCGACCUGCACACGAGGGCUCCUCCCAAGCUGGCACUGCUACCACUCCCACUGCUGGAUAUCUGAGAAGCCCCUCCCUGCUGCCGUUCUUUUUCUUAUAGUGUUGUAAUAGAUAAUGGUUGGUUGAGCACCCAGCUGUGAUAUUUUCCUACAAGUAUACUCAUGAUUCUGCAGAGUCAGUUGGUAGUGCUGAAACCAAUGUUGGUAGAAGCAACCGUUGGGCUGAUUGGAGCUUACACCAGAACUUGAAACAAAGGAGAAGGGUGAGCGAACUCGAUAAGUAUUUGGAAGGAGAAACGGUGCCUGCAGAUGCUCCUUUUGACAUUCUACAAUAUUGGAAGACUUCUUCCACUUCAUAUCCAAUACUUGCACGUAUGGCACGAGAUAUAUUAGCUGUUCCAGCAUCCACUGUGGCAUCAGAAUCAGCUUUUUCAAGUGGAGAGAAAACCAUCAGUGACUACAGAAGCAGAUUGACCAGCGAGACAGUGGAAGCGUUGAUCUGUCUCCAAGAUUGGAUCAGGGGGGAAGAUUGUACUAUCACCCAUGAUGAAAUAGCUGGAUACUUAAUUGGAGAUAAUGACGAUGAUGACGAUGGUUUACGACUCGUAGACCUAUGAGCAUUGAUCUGCAAUAUUUUUAUUCUGAUCUUACUGUAAGGAAGGAUGAAAUAAUAUGCUGCUUGUUCAUCUGUUAAGCAAGUGCAUAGAGUUUGAGUACAGAAUUGUUGGCUACAAGCUGCAUUAAGGAGAUCUUUCCUUUGCAUUUUUGAUUGGGACAACAACCACCCUGUCAACGAUGCCUCCUGUCUUUCACGUCCGCAAGCCUGAUGAGUAGAAGUGCAAGCGUGGGGUUUCGAUUUUAUCAUGAAGUUUGAUAUUUUUUAUGUUGAGUCAGUGUCCUAGAGUCUGGGUCAUUUGCUGUGUCAAGUGUGUUGACAGUGCCAAUUUUUUUUUCUAAUUUGUGUCAGUUACAUCAGUUUAUGCUAGUUUUACGCCGUCAAGUAAACGUGAAUGUUUCUAAGACGUUUGAUCUGAAUCAGAUGAUCAAAAAAAUUCAGGUGUGAACUUCAUUUGAAACACCUGAAUUCCACCCAUGUCAA